This 59-nucleotide ribosomal RNA is filed under the name Neonectria lugdunensis. Its description in RNAcentral is "partial 18S ribosomal RNA". It matches the Rfam family "Eukaryotic small subunit ribosomal RNA", at positions 1775 to 1831 of the family's 1831-position model. The record is from RNAcentral. Lineage: Eukaryota; Fungi; Ascomycota; Sordariomycetes; Hypocreales; Nectriaceae.
AGAGGAAGUAAAAGUCGUAACAAGGUCUCCGUUGGUGAACCAGCGGAGGGAUCAUUACC